UGCAGUCGAGGGGUAGAGGGAGCUUGCUUCCUUGAGACCGGCGCACGGGUGCGUAACGCGUAUGCAACCUACCUUUAUCUGGGGGAUAGCCCGGAGAAAUCCGGAUUAAUACCGCAUAAAAUCACAGAAUGGCAUUAUUCAAUGAUCAAACAUUAAUGGGAUAGAGAUGGGCAUGCGUGUCAUUAGCUAGUUGGCGGGGUAACGGCCCACCAAGGCGACGAUGACUAGGGGAUCUGAGAGGAUGACCCCCCACACUGGUACUGAGACACGGACCAGACUCCUACGGGAGGCAGCAGUAAGGAAUAUUGGUCAAUGGAGGCAACUCUGAACCAGCCAUGCCGCGUGCAGGAAGACUGCCCUAUGGGUUGUAAACUGCUUUUAUCCGGGAAUAAACCUAAAUACGUGUAUUUAGCUGAAUGUACCGGAAGAAUAAGGAUCGGCUAACUCCGUGCCAGCAGCCGCGGUAAUACGGAGGAUCCAAGCGUUAUCCGGAUUUAUUGGGUUUAAAGGGUGCGUAGGCGGCCUGUUAAGUCAGGGGUGAAAGACGGUAGCUCAACUAUCGCAGUGCCUUUGAUACUGAUGGGCUUGAAUGAACUAGAGGUAGGCGGAAUGAGACAAGUAGCGGUGAAAUGCAUAGAUAUGUCUCAGAACACCGAUUGCGAAGGCAGCUUACUAUGGUUUAAUUGACGCUGAGGCACGAAAGCGUGGGGAUCAAACAGGAUUAGAUACCCUGGUAGUCCACGCCCUAAACGAUGAACACUCGCUGUUGGCGAUACACAGUCAGCGGCUAAGCGAAAGCGUUAAGUGUUCCACCUGGGGAGUACGCUCGCAAGAGUGAAACUCAAAGGAAUUGACGGGGGCCCGCACAAGCGGAGGAGCAUGUGGUUUAAUUCGAUGAUACGCGAGGAACCUUACCCGGGCUUGAAAGUUAGUGAAUCAUUUAGAGAUAAAUGAGUGAGCAAUCACACGAAACUNNNGCUGCAUGGNUGUCGUCAGCUCGUGCCG
Molecule: ribosomal RNA, 1005 nt
Filed under: Pedobacter sp.
Lineage: Bacteria; Pseudomonadati; Bacteroidota; Sphingobacteriia; Sphingobacteriales; Sphingobacteriaceae
Description: bacterial SSU rRNA
Rfam family: Bacterial small subunit ribosomal RNA
Source: RNAcentral